GCGUGUCGUCAUCACACCGCGCCAGGUGGGCGCAGGAACAACGCAUGAGUGACAGGCCCUGGCCGCGGAGAUUUCAGGUUGAGGCUGCCCCUUUAACACGGUGCACUGCAAGAGGUGUAUCUGGUACCUGAAGGUGUCCCGGAACCCCUUGUUGACCGACGGCGAAUCAGCGCAGCCACUGAUGACUCGGAGAUACAGAAACGCCAGAUACAGGACUUCCCUGAAAACAAAACACCGGAGCAUAAGCACAUUCCUUAUUCCUACAUGAGAAGAUUGAAGUAACAAGGUUCUUUGAUGAUCAUUUCAAACUGGAUCACUCUGCCCGGUGACCCUCGUAUCAGCACUGCUCACCGGAUGCUGAGAUCAAAGCUCGCGCUCAGCACGAACCCUUUCUUCUCAUUGAGGAACACUGCCUUGAUGCUCCCAGCAUGGCCACUGAUCACAG
Malaclemys terrapin pileata is the source of this 445-nucleotide long non-coding RNA. RefSeq lists it as uncharacterized. The transcript has 4 exons. The record is from RefSeq and is a predicted model, not a curated record. Lineage: Eukaryota; Metazoa; Chordata; Testudines; Emydidae.